ACGGCAGCCAUCGCGCUUUGCAGUUCGGUCUCCUGGUGUACGGCCAACGCCAAGUAGGGGAUUGCGUUCUCUCCAGUCGCAGAGUUUCCCUCUUGUCGCCCAGGCUGGGGUGCAGUGGCACGAUCUCUGCUCACUGCAAUCUCCGCCUUCUGGGUUCCAGCGAUUCUCCUGUCUCAGCCUCCUGAGUAGCUGGGAUUACAGGCGCGUGCCACCACGCCCGGCUAAUUUUUGUGUGCGUGUUUUUUUGUUUUUUUUUUUUUUUUUGAGACGGAGUCUUCCCUCUGUCGCUCAGGCUGGAGUGAAGUGGCACGAUCUCGGCUCACUGCCAGCUGCGCCUCCCGGGUUCACGCCAUUCUCCUGGCUCAGCCUCCCGAGUAGCUGGGACUACAGGCGCCCGCCACCACGCCCGGCUAUUUUUUUUGUAUUUUUUAGUAGAGAUGGGGUUUCACUGUGUUAGCCAGGAUGGUCUCUAUCUCCUGACCUCGUGAUCCGCCUGCCUCGGCCUCCCAAAGUGCUGGGAUUAUAGGCGUGAGCCACCGCAGUGGGCCACUGUACUGAUUUUUAAGGUGUUGAAGCUUUUCCAAGAAGAUUUGUUUUAAAACAGCUAAAACUUUGACAUUGUUAGCUGAAAGAACCAAGUUGGUCAGCAAUUUAAGGUGUUUGGUACAGUGGACAAAAUGAGGUGAAGAAGUCCUUUUAACUUGAAAAAUUAAACCUAGUAUUAUUUA
This 728-nucleotide small RNA is filed under the name Pongo abelii (Sumatran orangutan). RNAcentral's name for it is "processed transcript". The record is from RNAcentral. Lineage: Eukaryota; Metazoa; Chordata; Mammalia; Primates; Hominidae.